GAUGAACGCUGGCUACAGGCUUAACACAUGCAAGUCGAGGGGAAACGGCAUUGAGUGCUUGCACUGAAUGGACGUCGACCGGCGCACGGGUGAGUAACGCGUAUCCAACCUUCCCGUUACUGCGGGAUAACCUGCCGAAAGGCAGACUAAUACCGCAUGUUCUUCGAUGACGGCAUCAGAUUCGAAGCAAAGAUCCGUCGGUAACGGAGGGGGAUGCGUCUGAUUAGCUAGUUGGCGGGGCGACGGCCCACCAAGGCGACGAUCAGUAGGGGUUCUGAGAGGAAGGUCCCCCACAUUGGAACUGAGACACGGUCCAAACUCCUACGGGAGGCAGCAGUGAGGAAUAUUGGUCAAUGGGCGGAAGCCUGAACCAGCCAAGUAGCGUGCAGGAUGACGGCCCUACGGGUUGUAAACUGCUUUUAUGCGGGGAUAAAGUGAGGGACGCGUCCCUUUUUGCAGGUACCGCAUGAAUAAGGACCGGCUAAUUCCGU
This 491-nucleotide ribosomal RNA is filed under the name uncultured bacterium. Its description in RNAcentral is "partial 16S ribosomal RNA". It matches the Rfam family "Bacterial small subunit ribosomal RNA", at positions 28 to 506 of the family's 1533-position model. The record is from RNAcentral.